RNAcentral lists this ribosomal RNA (468 nucleotides) under uncultured bacterium. Its description in RNAcentral is "partial 16S ribosomal RNA". It matches the Rfam family "Bacterial small subunit ribosomal RNA", at positions 28 to 507 of the family's 1533-position model. The record is from RNAcentral.
GACGAACGCUGGCGGCGUGCUUAACACAUGCAAGUCGAACGGAAAGGCCCUGCUUUUGUGGGGUGCUCGAGUGGCGAACGGGUGAGUAACACGUGAGUAACCUGCCCUUGACUUUGGGAUAACUUCAGGAAACUGGGGCUAAUACCGGAUAGGAGCUCCUGCUGCAAGGUGGGGGUUGGAAAGUUUCGGCGGUUGGGGAUGGACUCGCGGCUUAUCAGCUUGUUGGUGGGGUAGUGGCUUACCAAGGCUUUGACGGGUAGCCGGCCUGAGAGGGUGACCGGCCACAUUGGGACUGAGAUACGGCCCAGACUCCUACGGGAGGCGGCAGUGGGGAAUAUUGCACAAUGGGCGGAAGCCUGAUGCAGCAACGCCACGUGCGGGAUGACGGCCUUCGGGUUGUAAACCGCUUUCGCCUGUGACGAAGCGUGAGUGACGGUAAUGGGUAAAGAAGCACCGGCUAACUACGUG